This 786-nucleotide ribosomal RNA is filed under the name uncultured eukaryote. RNAcentral describes it as "bacterial SSU rRNA". The stretch from base 177 to 786 matches the Rfam family "Eukaryotic small subunit ribosomal RNA", at positions 1 to 585 of the family's 1831-position model. The record is from RNAcentral.
CUGGUUGAUCUGCAGGAGGGCAAGUCUGGUAGUCUGGUUGAUCUGCAGGAGGGCAAGUCUGGUUGAUCCUGCAGGAGGGCAAGUCUGGUUGAUCCUGCAGGAGGGCAAGUCUGGUUGAUCCUGCAGGAGGGCAAGUCUGGUGGAGGGCAAGUCUGGUUGAUCCUGCCAGGAGGGCAAGUCUGGUUGAUCCUGCCAGUAGUCAUAUGCUUGUCUCAAAGAUUAAGCCAUGCAUGUCUAAGUACAUACUUUUGCACGGUGAAACCGCGAAUGGCUCAUUAAAUCAGUUAUGGUUUUUUAGAUCGUUUUUUUUACAUGGAUAACUGUGGUAAUUCUAGAGGUAAUACAUGCAAAAAGCUCCGACCGUAUGGGAAGAGCGCUUUUAUUAGACCAAAACCAAUGGGGUUGCAAGAUCCCUUUGUUUGGUGACUUUGGAUAACUUUGUGCUGAUCGCAUGGCCUAGAGCCGGCGACGUAUUUUUCAAGUGUUUGCCCUAUCAACUUUUGAUGGUAAGCGAUUUGCCUACCAUGGUUGUAACGGGUAACGGGGAAUCAGGGUUUGAUUCCGGAGAGGGAGCCUGAGAAAUGGGUACCACAUUUACGGAAGGCAGCCGGCGCGCAAAUUACCCCCUCCUAGACCGGGGAGGUAGUGACGAAAAAUAACAAUACCGGGCCUUUCUAGGUCUGGCAAUUGGAAUGAGAACAAUGCAAACCCCCUAUCGAGGAUCAAUUGGAGGGCAAGUCUGGUUGAUCCUGCCAGGAGGGCAAGUCUGGUCACCUGGUUGAUCCU